Molecule: ribosomal RNA, 440 nt
Filed under: uncultured bacterium
Lineage: Bacteria
Description: partial 16S ribosomal RNA
Rfam family: Bacterial small subunit ribosomal RNA
Source: RNAcentral
CCUACGGGUGGCAGCAGUGGGGGAUAUUGCACAAUGGGGGGAACCCUGAUGCAGCGACGCCGCGUGGGUGAAGAAGUGCCUCGGCGCGUAAAGCCCUGUCAGCAGGGAAGAAAAUGACGGUACCUGAAGAAGAAGCCCCGGCUAACUACGUGCCAGCAGCCGCGGUAAUACGUAGGUGGCGAGCGUUGUCCGGAUUUACUGGGCGUAAAGGGAGCGUAGGCGGACUUUUAAGUCAGAUGUGAAAUACUCGGGCUCAACUUGAGUGCUGCUUUGCAAACUGGAAGUCUAGAGUGCAGGAGAGGAGAAUGGAAUUCCUAGUGUAGCGGUGAAAUGCGUAGAGAUUAGGAAGAACACCAGUGGCGAAGGCGGUUCUCUGGACUGUAACUGACGCUGAGGCUCGAAAGCGUGGGGAGCAAACAGGAUUAGAUACCCCGGUAGUC